Molecule: ribosomal RNA, 234 nt
Filed under: uncultured bacterium
Lineage: Bacteria
Description: partial 16S ribosomal RNA
Rfam family: Bacterial small subunit ribosomal RNA
Source: RNAcentral
GAUCAUGGCUCAGGAUGAACGCUGGCGGCGUGCCUAACACAUGCAAGUCGUAGCGAGAAAUCAUAAAAUGAAACUUCGGUAGAUUUUAAGAUGGAAAGCGGCGGACGGGUGAGUAACGCGUAGGCAACCUGCCUUAUGCAGAGGGAUAGCCAUUGGAAACGAUGAUUAAAACCUCAUUAACGCCGGAGAGUCACAUGGUUUUUCCGGCCAAAGAUUUAUCGGUCAUAAGAUGGG